RNAcentral lists this long non-coding RNA (340 nucleotides) under Elaeis guineensis (African oil palm). Its description in RNAcentral is "long non-coding RNA (EGUI_LNC056485)". The record is from RNAcentral. Lineage: Eukaryota; Viridiplantae; Streptophyta; Magnoliopsida; Arecales; Arecaceae.
GGGCCUUCAUAGGAUCAGGCUUUCGAAGAUAUCCUUCUCCUUCAAUUUCUAUGAGAAUCUAUGCUUGAAGGGUAGACAAAGGAGUGUAGGAAUUCAAGUGCCGAGGUGGGCUUCUUAACCUCGAAUUUUUCUAAGGUUGGUUGAAGCCAUUAUUAUUUUGCUGAGCUUCACCAUCUUCAUUCGAUCGUUUCUUUAUAUUUUCUUCUUUUCUCACCUGAUGAGUAUGCUUUCUUCCUCUUCAACUUGUGCACACUUUCAUACCCGAAUGAUCAUUUGCUCACAGUUAUUUGGAUAGUUUUUAUUGAGGGAGAAGAUCAGACGGUUGCUCCUGAGUUCUUGC